RNAcentral lists this transfer RNA (61 nucleotides) under Platorchestia japonica. RNAcentral's name for it is "tRNA-Gly". The record is from RNAcentral. Lineage: Eukaryota; Metazoa; Arthropoda; Malacostraca; Amphipoda; Talitridae.
UGGGUUUUAAGUUAUACAAACUAAUAACCUUCCAAGUUAAAAAAAACAAAGUUAAACUCAA